AACGAACGCUGGCGGCAUGCCUAACACAUGCAAGUUGAACGAGACCUUCGGGUCUAGUGGCGCACGGGUGCGUAACGCGUGGGAACCUGCCCUUAGGUUCGGAAUAACUCCCCGAAAGGGGUGCUAAUACCGGAUAAUGUCUUCGGACCAAAGAUUUAUCGCCUUUGGAUGGGCCCGCGUUGGAUUAGCUAGUUGGUAGGGUAAAAGCCUACCAAGGCCACGAUCCAUAGCUGGUCUGAGAGGAUGAUCAGCCACGCUGGGAAUGAGACACGGCCCAGACUACUACGGGAGGCAGCAGUGGGGAAUAUUGGACAAUGGGCGAGAGCCUGAUCCAGCAAUGCCGCGUGAGUGAUGAAGGCCUUAGGGUUGUAAAGCUCUUUUACCCGGGAUGAUAAUGACAGUACCGGGAGAAUAAGCGCCGGCUAACUCCGUG
RNAcentral lists this ribosomal RNA (433 nucleotides) under uncultured bacterium. RNAcentral's name for it is "partial 16S ribosomal RNA". It matches the Rfam family "Bacterial small subunit ribosomal RNA", at positions 29 to 507 of the family's 1533-position model. The record is from RNAcentral.